GGUUGUGGCUCAGUGGUAGAGAAUUUGCCUAGCAUGUAUGAGGCCCUGAGUUCGAUUCUCAGAACCA
Molecule: transfer RNA, 67 nt
Filed under: Urocitellus parryii (Arctic ground squirrel)
Lineage: Eukaryota; Metazoa; Chordata; Mammalia; Rodentia; Sciuridae
Also listed under: 1 other name
Description: Spermophilus parryii (Arctic ground squirrel) tRNA
Rfam family: tRNA
About the family: Transfer RNA (tRNA) molecules are approximately 80 nucleotides in length.
Source: Rfam by way of RNAcentral